CUAACUUUUUUUGUUUCUUGUUUUUUAAUGACGUUAAUAAUUUUCUCAGCAUAGUUGACUUCACUGAUCUUAGAAAUUCAACAAUAUGCUCCUGAAUGACCAGUGAGUCAAUGAAGAAAUUGAACAGUAAAUGGAAAAUUUUCUUGAAACAAAUGAUAAUGGAACACCACAUACCAAACUCUGCGAGAUACAGUGAAAGAAAUACCAAUUGGCCAGUUUACAGCUGUAAGUGCCUCCAUCAGAAAAGAGGCAAAACUUCAAAUGAGCAAUCUAAUGAUGCUCAGGAAAACAGAACACCAAUCCUCAACCUUCAUUCCCAGACACAGACACAAAAGGAGUGGUAGACACUGAAAUACCUGUGACUCGGGGAACCUGUCCUAGUAAGUGAGGGAAGUCACAAUCAUUCCCAAGGGUGUUCACUGAGAAAGUGCCUUUGUCCUGCAUCUGCAGCCUUGAAUGGAUGAGGUUCUGGGGCACCAACGGGCAUCGUCCAUGCUUUGUGGGAACACCAAGGCCCGCACCUAAAGAAACAGUUGAAAGGAGUACCUGGAGUCAGAAAGAUGACAGUGUCCUCUGACCACUGCUUUUAGCCACCUUGAUAGCUGCUCAAACGAGCUCUUCCCAGUGUGCGAACUGCCUUGUUCCAGUUUUGUUUCAUUCCCAGAAGUGAAGGAGUCCUAAGUCACACAUCAACACUUUCAUGGCCAACCACAGAACAGACACCUAGUUUCACCUUGAGAAAGAAGAAAGAUGGGGUAGAAAUGACAAAGAUUUUCUGAUUUCAUCUUUACUAGUAUGGUAGAUACCUGAUGAAAAUUGUUUGAAAUAAAAUGGAGAAUUGAAUAAAUUUUAAAAGUUUCUUUAUAACAGAUUACUUUUAGUAUUCUAAUAUGUAGUCUAAUAUGUAUAUAUGUAUAUAUGCGUGUGUAGGUAUACGUGUGUGUGUAUAUAUGUGUGUGUAUAUGUGUGUGUGUAUAAAUAUAUAUAUAUAUGUGU
This 996-nucleotide long non-coding RNA is filed under the name Homo sapiens (human). RNAcentral's name for it is "HSALNT0132301". The record is from RNAcentral. Lineage: Eukaryota; Metazoa; Chordata; Mammalia; Primates; Hominidae.